AGCUCCAAUAGCGUAUAUUAAAGUUGUUGCAGUUAAAAAGCUCGUAGUUGGAUUUCUGGUCGGAGCGACCGGUCGGCGUCCUUUGUGGCGUGUGCACUGUUGUCGGCUCCGUCCAUCCUAGUGGGAAGGCGCGUGGGCAUUCAUUUGUUCGCGCGUGGCCCCGCUACGUUUACUGUGAAAAAAUUAGAGUGUUUAAAGCAGGCGUUCGCUGUGAAUACAUUAGCAUGGAAUAAUGAGAUAGGACUUUGGUACUAUUUUGUUGGUUUGCGCACCAAGGUAAUGAUUAAUAGGGAUAGUUGGGGGUAUUCAUAUUCAAUUGUCAGAGGUGAAAUUCUUGGAUUUAUGGAAGAUGAACUUAUGCGAAAGCAUUUACCAAGGAUGUUUUCA
Molecule: ribosomal RNA, 387 nt
Filed under: uncultured eukaryote
Lineage: Eukaryota
Description: SSU rRNA
Rfam family: Eukaryotic small subunit ribosomal RNA
Source: RNAcentral